RNAcentral lists this ribosomal RNA (194 nucleotides) under uncultured bacterium. RNAcentral's name for it is "partial 16S ribosomal RNA". It matches the Rfam family "Bacterial small subunit ribosomal RNA", at positions 338 to 524 of the family's 1533-position model. The record is from RNAcentral.
CCUACGGGAGGCAGCAGUGGGGAAUACUGGACAAUGGGCGAAAGCCUGAUCCAGCCAUGCCGCGUGUGUGAAGAAGGUCUUCGGAUUGUAAAGCACUUUAAGUUGGGAGGAAGGGUUGUAGAUUAAUACUCUGCAAUUUUGACGUUACCGACAGAAUAAGCACCGGCUAACUCUGUGCCAGCAGCCGCGGUAAU